RNAcentral lists this long non-coding RNA (1362 nucleotides) under Macaca fascicularis (crab-eating macaque). RNAcentral's name for it is "lncRNA (ENSMFAG00000063473.1)". Lineage: Eukaryota; Metazoa; Chordata; Mammalia; Primates; Cercopithecidae. The record is from RNAcentral.
GGUUCCUCUUGUUUCCCCCACUAACUCUUCAGCCUCUCGUCUGCUGCUUCGGGCUGAGGGACUAGAGGACAUCUCAGUCGUUUGAGCGGCAUGGCCAGUCGUGGCAGGCCAGGCUUCAGCAUCCGGUCAGGGCAGCGUGCAGACUGAAUAGGCCCUUGUGUGGGAGCAUCCCUGGGGAUUGUUGGAACCGUGCUGUCCCCACCCCUGCUUUCAUCGGGGCUCUAAGUUCUGGAAGGUGCUUGCACAGAGGGUGCUCAUGGGACCUGCAUGCAGCUCUCAGCACUGGGCGGGUGGGCGUUGGCUUGUCCAGAAUGGGGACGUGGGGCAGCCACUGCCACCCAGCGAGAGUGCAGACACCGUGUGAGGGAACAGCAGCCCUUGGUGCAAAGCCAGAGACUGAUCCUGGCUCUGACGGCUGAGGAGGGAGGACCCGAGGCUGGGUGGCGUGGCUCGUGAAUCCACUUAGAAUUCUUGGCUUGUGUCGCACACUGGGUGUCACGGCACACAUUUACUCUGCAUUGUCCCUGUCUUUCCUGUCGCCUAGCAUUUGGAGAGGAAGAGGGAGAGAGCUUCAGGGUGUCUGUGUCCUUGCUCUCCUGCCUCUACCGCCUUGGUUUUGCUUCCUGCUGGAGGCGCGGCACCUGCUGCGACCCAGAUUCUUCUGCAGGAUAUGUCUGUCUUUGUCACGGUGGACAGAGGGUGACAUCAUAGGAGCAGCUCGCUGGCCAGAAGGGGAUGGGGCAUCCCUGUGCCUCAGUCAGCUUCUGCUGCUCUUAGGGAAGGGAGGCCUGGGUCAAGCCAGCUGCAGCGUCUUGUCAUCAAGAGUCACCUCAGCUGCGCUCCCCUCCCGUCCUUUCCUAUGAGAAGCCACUGCUUUGGGGGCGCCAGCUAGAAAAAUUAGGGUGAGGUGGCCAGGAGGGCCCCUGCCGCGCGGGGGCCUGGGUCCUGUUGAGGCGCUCAUUUCCCGAAGGCAGCGCAGGGAUCCAGGGAAGCUGCGGCAGGGAGUGGCCCCGGCUCCGUGGCUCUGAGGUGUAACGGGAGUGGGCUCCCUCCCUCGGAGCACGUGGUCUUGUGUCCAGGUCAGAGAGUGGCCCAGGAAGCGGGCAGUUUCUGUCGCUGGUCCGGUGGGGGGCGGCCGCUGCGCGGUCGGUGCAGCGUGGCCAAUGCACGCGAGCGGGGGGCAGAGCAGGAGGCGAUCGGUGACCUCGGGCACUGCUGGCCUGGGCUGGCCUCCUCCAGCCCUCCCGUGGCGGAGCCGGCAGUGAUGCUACACUUCACUGUAGUCACGACAGGGCCUAAGUUAUUGUUUGCAUAAAAAGAAUCAUGUUCCCUGUGUACAUUUAAGAAAAAAAAAAAAAAAAA